UUGUCCUAUAUCAUGUACAAUGAUCUACAGUCAUGAAAUCAAUCAAUCAAUCAAUCAUCUUUUACAUGCACAGUAAGGUUAGAAAACUGGCCUGUGAAGAUCAUGUUUGUUCAACAAGAUUUUUUUUAUAUCUCAGUUAUUUCUUCCAAAAGCUGACUAUUCUCAAUCACAGUCAAACAGUUCAGAAUCAAAACAUCCUUCAUUCUUGAUUCUUCAACAAAAAUAAAAUUAUGAAGUAGAUUACUGCCACUCGGAUUCAAAUCUGGGUUAAAAAUGGACAUAUUUGAUGUUUCUCAGUCCCACUGAUUUCACACAUAUCACUUCUUAACUCUAGAGUCUCAUACAUUAAAGAGAUGACAUAUCUGUGACAUUUCACACAUUCCGCGAAAGCAAAGCAGAUGUCUAUUUCAGAACCUACCACAAACAUCAAAACUCCAUACAACCUGAUUCUGGUACAAUUCCUUAAAUACAUUAUAGCAUGGUGUGUAAUUAAAACCACAUGAAUUUUGGCAUUUUACUGUGACUUUCGUUAGCUGCAGACAUAAUCUACCUGCUUUAUGAUAAAAUUUAAAAUUUCACUAAUAUGGUGUUUAAAGGCAGACUAUCUCAAAAUGAUUGGAUUUCAAUAAGAGGCAGAUCAUACCAGGCAUUAACUUUGUUGCAUGGCUAAACUUGGUGAUAUCUGACUUGGAUUAUGUUACAUUAAUGAAACAAGAAACAAUGUCUACAUACAUAAAAUGUUACCAUAUUAACAUUAUCUUUAGUUUUAUUAUGUGUACCUUAAUAAUUCUUUUUGAUAUACCUACUUAUAGCAACCAUAGGACCAAAGUUUACAAAUACAUCUAUUUUAAAAUAAUAAUUCUUCCAAGUAUAAGUUCAAGUAAUGUGUUUUUAUUUCCCUCUUAGCAUUAUAACUGGGACACAAUUACAUGAAGACACACUGCCAAUGACAGACUGAAAAAAUAAGUUCCUAACCUACAAACUUCAGAUAAGAUAAAGAAAUAGUUCCUUCUUUUGUAAUAUAUGUUAUGGUUACUGUAGUUCUGGUCACGUGUACACAAAUAAAUAAAUAAAUAAAUCUAAAAUUCCAGUACCUCAUAUAGUCAUAUGUAACAUAACAUGUAUCACAAAAUGCUUCUUUUCCUAUAGGAAACACAGAAACAAUUGCCAAAAUUUAAGUUAAAUUUAAUUUUAACUUCUCAAAAUCAUAAUUACUGUUACAAAUAUGAAGCGAUUUUUUUAUGGUAUUAUAAAAGUAAACUGUACACUGACCAGCUCAAUUCCCUUCGUUUUCUUUGUUUUGCAACACGAGCUUGUUGUUUUAUUACUAUGUCGUAUAUAUCGGUAUAUAGUGAACAUUUCUUUUCCAACAUGUAAAAAGAUAACAUUAUCUAUAUCCUUUGCCACGUUAAUGAAUGUUUAUUUAUAUCUCUGUGUAUUUUAGGCUUAAUGAGAACUACCGUAUUAACUUCUGCACCCCCAUUUAAGUAUAAUAGCAGUCUCAAAUUCACGUACGGAAAGUCCAUAAUAAUAAAAUAAUAAUACAUACAUACAUACACAAAUGGAAUCAGUAAUAAUAAAAUUAAUGUUUCAUUCACAAGUAACCGCCAACUACUAACAACACUCUCUACUUCCAACAUUAUAAUUCACACAUCCUAACCUCUUUAUCACAAUAUUUUAAAAAUCCGACAACAGGUGUCUCUCAAAACGUUUGAGCCAACGGGCGCAGUGCAUUGUGGGAGCUGAAGGAAAAAUUGCGUUGCUGGGAAAUAGAAGGUGGUACAGACUGCAACAGAUUUGUAUAUGUUUUCAUAUCAGUACAUAUACAAAAUACAGUUUUAUAAGUGUAAAUUUUAGUACCAUGUUAUUGGAGUAUAGAAAGAAUGCAUAUUACUAAAACAUUUCAUGCAGUGGAUUCAGUUCGUGAUGCCCUAAGAAACACCAUGGAAGCGACAGACUCACAAGAAAUUGAGAUACCAUGAAGAUGGAUGCAGCAAGUACCUGGGAAACAUUGCUACCUAUCUGCUAAACAGCAUGACACCACAUCUAAAGGACAGUAAUCUUCAUGCUUGCUGCUGUAGGACCUCAGAUCCCGCAGCUGCGGUAUCUGGCUUUGGAUGAUCUAGAAAGUUCUGUUAACUGGAAAUUGACUAAUUGUGAAUAUUAUUAUUGAAAGAAUGAAAUAUUGUUAUCUUGUUGGUUGGUUUGUUGUUAGGUACACCAUGUUAUGUUAAGUAGUGAUGAAAAUGGAAUAUAAAGUGUGGUACAGAAAACAGGAGGUCCUGUCAUGCGAGAAAUUAAAUUUGUAGGCCUGUCCAUGAGGUUGCUGGUUCACUAAGAUACACAUUAUGUAUAGGGUUCUGAUAUCUGGAAAGUUAAAAUAUCCAACAAUCUUUUGGUCUUAGAGGUGCCAGAUAUCACAUCCUUUAUUGUAUUUGAUUCCAUUUUUGUUCAGCUUGUAAAUAGUAUUACUAUUUAACCUUGAACAUCAUAUUUUCAUGCCUGUUUUAGCUGAUAUAAAUUUGAGUAGAACAGUAAAAUGCUUUAGCUUGUGGGCUAGAGUGCUGGACUGUUAUGCAAAUGGUCUUUUAGUCUAGUCCUGAUAGUACAAAUUUUGUUUACAUGAAGUUUAUUGGGCAUAACCUCAAAAUUUUGGACUAUUUUCAUAUCUGUAAUUGUUGAUCUGUGAACAGUGAUUCAUGGAAAAUUUCUAAGUACGUUUAUGAUUGUUCUUCAUACCAUAUUUCAAAUGCCUACCUAUGCCAAAUGGUACAUUUGCUAUCACUAUCUAACAAAAAGCUAAAUAUAGAUUUCAAGUAGCCAGAAUCUCAUUACUUUAAAAUUAAAAAAUACACCCAUAAAAGUUGCCUAUUUUUUUAACAUAUGCAUCAUUUCAGAGCUGUCCGUUCAGUGAUAUUGGUGUCCCUCCCACCUCACAAGUUUGUGCAUCCAUUAUGUUGUUAGUAGUGAUUAUAGGAAAUCAAAAGUACUAGAUUUCUGUGGCCCAUAAUCUCAUGAUAUUUCUAUAAAUUUCUGUGAAUUGCCAUAACGCCCUCAGAAUUUGUGUGGGGAGGGGGUCACACAGAGAGAAAGGCAUCAUGGUGAUUUCAUAAGUUUAAUUUAAAAUGCCAUUUAUAUCCAAAAAGACCUACAAGUGAUUCUUAUAAUUUGUUCUGCUAACAGUGGAAAUGAUAAUAAAGUAAAAGGAAAGUUAUCUCUGUCCUUAAUUA
This is a long non-coding RNA of Cryptotermes secundus, 3230 nucleotides long. RefSeq lists it as uncharacterized. Lineage: Eukaryota; Metazoa; Arthropoda; Insecta; Blattodea; Kalotermitidae. The transcript has 3 exons. The record is from RefSeq and is a predicted model, not a curated record.